Long non-coding RNA from Phodopus roborovskii (desert hamster), 462 nucleotides. RefSeq lists it as uncharacterized. The record is from RefSeq and is a predicted model, not a curated record. The transcript has 3 exons. NCBI's taxonomy places the organism in Eukaryota, Metazoa, Chordata, Mammalia, Rodentia, Cricetidae.
GGGGACCGGAAGCUGAGACCCAAGAUGAGACUAAGGAAGUUGCUGGGGAGCCAAAGUCAGCAGUGCCCGUUACCCAUCCCCUGUCGCUGCUCCGGGUCCUGCACGGUGUGGAAUCCUGUGCUGCAGAUCUGGGUGCGGACGGCACGGCGGGUGCCGCGGGGACCUGAAAACUCCGGAGCUGCAGUCUCCGCGCGUGCAGCCUGGGAAAGUCGCAGUCAGCAGCGCAGUGGCGGGAACCGCAGCCCGGCUGCCCUGGAACCUCCCAGGGCUCACUGAUCACCUAGACCUGCUCACCUGUGCAGCAGAACAAAGGGGCCUGGAAGGAGAGAGGAGACAGUGGCUAAGGAUGCAGCACUAGGAACUCACCUUCUGUGUCUGCUGGGAAGGAACCAUGGGCAACAACAGUACCCUUUGGUGUUUGGAAGUCUCUUGGACAACUGACAGUUUCAAAGCAGGCUUUCU